UGCAAGUCGAGCGAACAGACGAGGAGCUUGCUCCUUUGACGUUAGCGGCGGACGGGUGAGUAACACGUGGGUAACCUACCUAUAAGACUGGGAUAACUUCGGGAAACCGGAGCUAAUACCGGAUAAUAUUUCGAACCGCAUGGUUCGAUAGUGAAAGAUGGCUUGCUAUCACUUAUAGAUGGACCUGCGCCGUAUUAGCUAGUUGGUAAGGUAACGGCUUACCAAGGCAACGAUACGUAGCCGACCUGAGAGGGUGAUCGGCCACUU
RNAcentral lists this ribosomal RNA (267 nucleotides) under Staphylococcus hominis. RNAcentral's name for it is "partial 16S ribosomal RNA". It matches the Rfam family "Bacterial small subunit ribosomal RNA", at positions 56 to 313 of the family's 1533-position model. Lineage: Bacteria; Bacillati; Bacillota; Bacilli; Caryophanales; Staphylococcaceae. The record is from RNAcentral.